Molecule: ribosomal RNA, 497 nt
Filed under: uncultured bacterium
Lineage: Bacteria
Description: partial 16S ribosomal RNA
Rfam family: Bacterial small subunit ribosomal RNA
Source: RNAcentral
GAUGAACGCUGGCGGCGUGCCUAAUACAUGCAAGUCGAGCGAACGGACGAGAAGCUUGCUUCUCUGAUGUUAGCGGCGGACGGGUGAGUAACACGUGGAUAACCUACCUAUAAGACUGGGAUAACUUCGGGAAACCGGAGCUAAUACCGGAUAAUAUUUUGAACCGCAUGGUUCAAAAGUGAAAGACGGUCUUGCUGUCACUUAUAGAUGGAUCCGCGCUGCAUUAGCUAGUUGGUAAGGUAACGGCUUACCAAGGCAACGAUGCAUAGCCGACCUGAGAGGGUGAUCGGCCACACUGGAACUGAGACACGGUCCAGACUCCUAAGGGAGGCAGCAGUAGGGAAUCUUCCGCAAUGGGCGAAAGCCUGAAGGAGCAAAGCCGCGUGAGUGAUGAAGGUCUUCGGAUCGUAAAACUCUGUUAUUAGGGAAGAACAUAUGUGUAAGUAACUGUGCACAUCUUGACGGUACCUAAUCAGAAAGCCACGGCUAACUACGUG